This 305-nucleotide ribosomal RNA is filed under the name Crypthecodinium cohnii. RNAcentral's name for it is "partial Bacterial small subunit ribosomal RNA". It matches the Rfam family "Bacterial small subunit ribosomal RNA", at positions 256 to 578 of the family's 1533-position model. The record is from RNAcentral. Lineage: Eukaryota; Dinophyceae; Gonyaulacales; Crypthecodiniaceae.
GGUAAAGGCUCACCAAGCCUUCGAUCUGUAGCUGGUCUGAGAGGACGACCAGCCACACUGGGACUGAGACACGGCCCAGACUCCUACGGGAGGCAGCAGUGGGGAAUAUUGGACAAUGGGCGCAAGCCUGAUCCAGCCAUGCCGCGUGAGUGAUGAAGGCCUUAGGGUUGUAAAGCUCUUUCAGUGGGGAAGAUAAUGACGGUACCCAGUAAAGAAGCCCCGGCUAACUCCGUGCCAGCAGCCGCGGUAAUACGGAGGGAGCUAGCGUUGUUCGGAAUUACUGGGCGUAAAGCGCACGUAGGCGG